RNAcentral lists this ribosomal RNA (474 nucleotides) under Bilaterocotyloides carangis. RNAcentral's name for it is "eukaryotic LSU rRNA". It matches the Rfam family "Eukaryotic large subunit ribosomal RNA", at positions 129 to 578 of the family's 3401-position model. The record is from RNAcentral. Lineage: Eukaryota; Metazoa; Platyhelminthes; Monogenea; Mazocraeidea; Protomicrocotylidae.
GCUGUGGGCGUAGCAUGUGGUGUUUAGGUUUAUUGCUUUCGUAUGCUGCUUCGUUCCAAGUCCAAACUUGAAUAUGGCAUUUGUAUGGCCCAGAGAGGGUGAAAGGCCCAUGUGGACGGAGUGGUGUUCGACUGCGUAGACCGUGGAGUCGGGUUGUUUGAGAAUGCAGCCCAAAGUUGGUGGUAAACUCCAUCUAAGGCUAAAUACUGGCACGAGUCCGAUAGCGAACAAGUACCGUGAGGGAAAGUUGAAAAGUACUCUGAAGAGAGAGUAAACAGUGCGUGAAACCGAUUAGAGGCAAACGGGUGUAGUCAAGCUGCAAGUCGUGGGAAAUUGGCGGAUCAGAAUGGCGUGAGCUUGAGCAUAUUUGAUCUGGUUUUAAGUGCGUCUGGUAAGGCGUGUUCGGCUCGCAAGGGUCGGAUGUGUGGAAUGUAAUACUAUGCUCCAUGCCUAAAAAUGGUUUGUUCAGAUGGU